GAUGAAGAACGCAGCGAAAUGCGAUAAGUAAUGUGAAUUGCAGAAUUCAGUGAAUCAUCGAAUCUUUGAACGCACAUUGCGCCCGCCAGUAUUCUGGCGGGCAUGCCUGUUCGAGCGUCAUUACAACCCUCAGGCCCCCGGGCCUGGCGUUGGGGAUCGGCGGAAGCCCCCUGCGGGCACAACGCCGUCCCCCAAAUACAGUGGCGGUCCCGCCGCAGCUUCCAUUCCGUAGUAGCUAACACCUCGCAACUGGAGAGCGGCGCGGCCACGCCGUAAAACACCCAACUUCUGAAUGUUGACCUCGAAUCAGGUAGGAAUACCCGCUGAACUUAAGCAUAUCAAUAAGCGGAGGA
RNAcentral lists this unclassified non-coding RNA (353 nucleotides) under soil metagenome. Its description in RNAcentral is "partial contains 5.8S ribosomal RNA, internal transcribed spacer 2, and large subunit ribosomal RNA". The stretch from base 1 to 120 matches the Rfam family "5.8S ribosomal RNA", at positions 35 to 154 of the family's 154-position model. The record is from RNAcentral.